GGGUCGGUGCCCGAGCGGUUAAAGGGGACGGAUUGUAAAUCCGUUGGCUGAGCCUUCACUGGUUCAAAUCCAGUUCGACCCA
This 82-nucleotide transfer RNA is filed under the name Ostreobium sp. HV05007bc. RNAcentral describes it as "tRNA-Tyr". It matches the Rfam family "tRNA". Rfam says of the family: Transfer RNA (tRNA) molecules are approximately 80 nucleotides in length. Lineage: Eukaryota; Viridiplantae; Chlorophyta; Ulvophyceae; Bryopsidales; Ostreobiaceae. The record is from RNAcentral.